Molecule: long non-coding RNA, 362 nt
Filed under: Homo sapiens (human)
Lineage: Eukaryota; Metazoa; Chordata; Mammalia; Primates; Hominidae
Description: non-protein coding LINC01766:14
Source: RNAcentral
UAACAAGAGCAAGUUCUGGUAGAAAGAAGGUGACUUUAUUCCAGAGCUCAGGUGUUUGAACUGAUGUCUGAUGAGGAUGAAUCCAGCGACUACCUCUGCCUGUCCAUCCUGGGCCUCUUCUGUUGCCUUCCCCUAGCCAUCCCAGCCGUGAUCUUUUCUUGCCUGACAAAGAACUACAAUAAAUCCAGUGACUAUGAGCUGGCAGCCAAGACCUCCAAACAAGCCUACUACUGGGCCAUCGCGAGCAUCACUGUGGGAAUCUUAGGUACCAUCUUGUACACCUACCUGAUAUACUUACUUAGAUUGUAAACUGCUUCCCAGCUCUUGAACAAACCACCAAAUAUACACCACAGUGCAAUUUA